AAUAGAUACCCGGGUAGUCCACGCCGUAAACGAUGAGUGCUAAGUGUUAGAGGGUUUCCGCCCUUUAGUGCUGCAGCUAACGCAUUAAGCACUCCGCCUGGGGAGUACGGUCGCAAGACUGAAACUCAAAGGAAUUGACGGGGGCCCGCACAAGCGGUGGAGCAUGUGGUUUAAUUCGAAGCAACGCGAAGAACCUUACCAGGUCUUGACAUCCUCUGACAACUCUAGAGAUAGAGCGUUCCCCUUCGGGGGACAGAGUGACAGGUGGUGCAUGGUUGUCGUCAGCUCGUGUCGUGAGAUGUUGGGUUAAGUCCCGCAACGAGCGCAACCCUUGAUCUUAGUUGCCAGCAUUUAGUUGGGCACUCUAAGGUGACUGCCGGUGACAAACCGGAGGAAGGUGGGGAUGACGUCAAAUCAUCAUGCCCCCUUAUGACCUGGGCUACACACGUGCUACAAUGGAUGGUACAAAGGGCUGCAAGACCGCGAGGUCAAGCCAAUCCCAUAAAACCAUUCUCAGUUCGGAUUGUAGG
Molecule: ribosomal RNA, 530 nt
Filed under: uncultured bacterium
Lineage: Bacteria
Description: bacterial SSU rRNA
Rfam family: Bacterial small subunit ribosomal RNA
Source: RNAcentral